Molecule: ribosomal RNA, 396 nt
Filed under: uncultured bacterium
Lineage: Bacteria
Description: partial 16S ribosomal RNA
Rfam family: Bacterial small subunit ribosomal RNA
Source: RNAcentral
CCUACGGGAGGCAGCAGUGAGGAAUAUUGGUCAAUGGGCGCGAGCCUGAACCAGCCAAGUAGCGUGAAGGAUGACUGCCCUACGGGUUGUAAACUUCUUUUAUAAAGGAAUAAAGUGAGGCAUGUGUGCCUUUUUGUAUGUCUUUUAUGAAUAAGGAUCGGCUAACUCCGUGCCAGCAGCCGCGGUAAUACGGAGGAUCCGAGCGUUAUCUGGAUUUAUUGGGCUUAAAGGGAGCGUAGAUGGGUUGUUAAGUCAGUUGUGAAAGUUUGCGGCUCAACCGUAAAAUUGCAAUUGAUACUGGCGGCCUUGAGUACAGUUGAGGUAGGCGGAAUUCGUGGUGUAGCGGUGAAAUGCUUAGAUAGCACGAAGAACUCCGAUUGCGAAGGCAGCCUACUA